UACGUAGGGGGCAAGCGUUGUCCGGAUUUACUGGGCGUAAAGGGCGCGUAGGCGGUCAGCACAAGUCAGUUGUGAAAUCUCCGAGCUUAACUCGGAAAGGUCAACUGAUACUGUGCGACUAGAGUGCAGAAGGGGCAACUGGAAUUCUCGGUGUAGCGGUGAAAUGCGUAGAUAUCGGGAGGAACACCAGUGGCGAAGGCGACUACCUGGCCUGUUUCUUGACGCUGAGGCGCGAAAGCUAGGGGAGCAAACGGG
RNAcentral lists this ribosomal RNA (255 nucleotides) under uncultured bacterium. RNAcentral describes it as "partial 16S ribosomal RNA". It matches the Rfam family "Bacterial small subunit ribosomal RNA", at positions 524 to 776 of the family's 1533-position model. The record is from RNAcentral.